This 460-nucleotide ribosomal RNA is filed under the name uncultured bacterium. Its description in RNAcentral is "partial 16S ribosomal RNA". It matches the Rfam family "Bacterial small subunit ribosomal RNA", at positions 338 to 795 of the family's 1533-position model. The record is from RNAcentral.
CCUACGGGUGGCAGCAGUGAGGAAUAUUGGUCAAUGGACGAGAGUCUGAACCAGCCAAGUAGCGUGAAGGAUGACUGCCCUAUGGGUUGUAAACUUCUUUUAUAUGGGAAUAAAAUGUUCCACGUGUGGGAUUUUGUAUGUACCAUACGACUAAGGAUCGGCUAACUCCGUGCCAGCAGCCGCGGCAAUACGGAGGUUCCGUGCGUUAUCCGGAUUUAUUGGGCUUAAAGGGAGCGUAGGUGGAUUGUUAAGUCAGUUGUGAAAUUUUGCGGCUCAACCGUAAAAUUGCAGUUGAAACUGGCAGUCUUGAGUACAGUAGAGGUGAGCGGAAUUCGUGGUGUAGCGGUGAAAUGCUUAGAUAUCACGAAGAACUCCGAUUGCGAAGGCAGCUCACUGGACUGCAACUGACACUGAGGCUCGAAAGUGUGGGUAUCAAACAGGAUUAGAUACCCCUGUAGUC